Molecule: ribosomal RNA, 188 nt
Filed under: Enterobacter kobei
Lineage: Bacteria; Pseudomonadati; Pseudomonadota; Gammaproteobacteria; Enterobacterales; Enterobacteriaceae
Description: partial 23S ribosomal RNA
Rfam family: Bacterial large subunit ribosomal RNA
Source: RNAcentral
GGUUAAGCGACUAAGCGUACACGGUGGAUGCCCUGGCAGUCAGAGGCGAUGAAGGACGUGCUAAUCUGCGAAAAGCGCCGGCGAGGUGAUAUGAACCUUUGACCCGGCGAUGUCCGAAUGGGGAAACCCAGUGUGAUUCGUCACACUAUCGUUAACUGAAUACAUAGGUUAACGAGGCGAACCGGGGG